This 467-nucleotide ribosomal RNA is filed under the name uncultured bacterium. RNAcentral describes it as "partial 16S ribosomal RNA". It matches the Rfam family "Bacterial small subunit ribosomal RNA", at positions 28 to 507 of the family's 1533-position model. The record is from RNAcentral.
GACGAACGCUGGCGGCGUGCUUAACACAUGCCAGUCGAACGGAAAGGCCCUGCUUUUGUGGGGUGCUCGAGUGGCGAACGGGUGAGUAACACGUGAGUAACCUGCCCUUGACUUUGGGAUAACUUCAGGAAACUGGGGCUAAUACCGGAUAGGAGCUCCUGCUGCAUGGUGGGGGUUGGAAAGUUUCGGCGGUUGGGGAUGGACGCGCGGCUUAUCAGCUUGUUGGUGGGGUAGUGGCUUACCAAGGCUUUGACGGGUAGCCGGCCUGAGAGGGUGACCGGCCACAUUGGGACUGGGAUACGGCCCAGACUCCUACGGGAGGCAGCAGUGGGGAAUAUUGCACAAUGGGCGGAAGCCUGAUGCAGCAACGCCGCGUGCGGGAUGACGGCCUUCGGGUUGUAAACCGCUUUCGCCUGUGACGAAGCGUGAGUGACGGUAAUGGGGAAAGAAGCACCGGCUACUACGUG